RNAcentral lists this ribosomal RNA (423 nucleotides) under uncultured bacterium. RNAcentral describes it as "bacterial SSU rRNA". It matches the Rfam family "Bacterial small subunit ribosomal RNA", at positions 917 to 1341 of the family's 1533-position model. The record is from RNAcentral.
GGACCCGCACAAGCAGUGGAGCAUGUGGUUUAAUUCGAUGCAACGCGAAGAACCUUACCCAGACUUGACAUGUAGUGGACCGCCAUAGAGAUAUGGCUUCUCGUAAGAGCCGCUACACAGGUGCUGCAUGGCUGUCGUCAGCUCGUGCCGUGAGGUGUUGGGUUAAGUCCCGCAACGAGCGCAACCCUUAUCGUUAGUUGCCAACACGUAAUGGUGGGAACUCUAACGAGACUGCCUGGGUUAACCAGGAGGAAGGUGAGGAUGACGUCAAGUCAGCAUGGCCCUUAUGUCUGGGGCUACACACGUGCUACAAUGGUCGGUACAAAAGGCAGCUAAGCCGCAAGGUGGAGCAAAUCCCUAAAGCCGAUCCCAGUUCGGAUUGUUGUCUGCAACUCGACAACAUGAAGUCGGAAUUGCUAGUAA